Thamnophis sirtalis is the source of this 1377-nucleotide non-coding RNA. The record is from RefSeq and is a predicted model, not a curated record. Lineage: Eukaryota; Metazoa; Chordata; Lepidosauria; Squamata; Natricidae.
UCAAUUGUGGUCGUAAGUCGAGGACUACCUGGAAUUGUGGGCAUAAGGGCAAGCCAUCUGAGGCUGCAGAUGCUGAGUUCCAACUGACCUUGAACCCACCAUGUCACAGUCCUGAGAAGGGAACACAGAUAGUCCUCGACUUGCGACCAUAGUGGAGCCUGCCCAUUACGGUCGCAAGUCAUGAUGGUUGCAAAGCGAGUCACCCAUGCGUCUGACCCAAUUUUACCAUCUCUUUUGCGACAUGUCAAAUGAAUGCCACUGUCCUAAAGUGGACCCAUUGUUCACUGUCAGCGGUUUCACCGAAAACCAGAAAUAAAUGCCGCUUUAUAACAAAACCAUCAUAAAAUAUAGUCGUGACCAUGGGCCGCUGAAAAUGGCUGUAAACGCAAGUCUGUUGCCAAGCAACCCACAUGCAGUCACAUGACCAUGGAGCGGGGGGAAGUGACUGUCACAACUUUGGAAAUGGAUUGUUAAGAAUCCCCGAGGGAGAUCCGUCAUAAAUUUGAAGCUGUCCUAAAUCAAGGACUACCUGCACCAUGAAGGCACCUCAGAAGAUGGAGGCAACAACUGACGGGCUUGUUGGUUUCUUUUUUGGAUUGCAAUUGUUGAUUCCAUCACUUUUGAUAGAUGUCGCUUCCAUACUGUGCAACCCAAACGCCACUCUGUCAUUCUGUUUCCAUGUAGACAAUGGUUGGCUAUCCAGAAAUUGAGGAGUAAAAUCCGGAAGAAAGUGGACACCAAGGCCAGUAAAGGAAGGAAAAUCCGGUAUCAUGUCCACAGCAAGCUGUUGAGCUUCAUGGCGCCCAUUGACCACUGCACGAUGAAUGAUGACGCCAGGACAGAACUGUAUCGGUCACUGUUUGGCAAGCAGGUCCGCCUAGAAGAAGGACAUCAAGCCUAGUGAUCCAAAGGACUCCUUGGCAGGUUCUGGAAUGUGGGAGACCUUCUCAUAUUCGGAUAGUCCCACCACCCUACAGACCUCACUCAGGGGAGCCAAGGUGGUGUCUGUCCAUUUGAUGGAGAAGAACCUGAGGAAGCUGCCAUCCAUGAUCACAUUAGGACACAGGACAACAUUUUUCUCCUACUCUCCCCCCCCCCUCCUUUCUGAACUUCCCUCAAGAUGAGCCAUGUUAAUUCCAUCAGGCUCUUUCCUCUGGGAUCUUCAAGAACACAGUGGGCACGAAGUCAUCAUUCUGGCCACUGAUCACCACUGACACUGCAUCCUGAUGGAUGGACGGAUGGGAUGGAUGGAUGCCAAAGCAAUUUGCUUGAUGAAAAAAGGCUCACCACUGGCACUGCAUCCCAAUGGAUGGAUGAUUGGAUGGAUGGAUGAUGGAUUGGAUGGGUGAUGGAUGGAUUGGAUGGAUGAUGGAUUUG